This 50-nucleotide small nucleolar RNA is filed under the name Pyrobaculum islandicum DSM 4184. RNAcentral describes it as "PISsR40". The record is from RNAcentral. Lineage: Archaea; Thermoproteati; Thermoproteota; Thermoprotei; Thermoproteales; Thermoproteaceae.
GUGAUGACAAGGCAUUUAUGGCCUCAUAUGGCCGGCGCUGGAACAGCUGA